Molecule: transfer RNA, 75 nt
Filed under: bacterium
Lineage: Bacteria
Also listed under: 2 other names
Description: tRNA-Gln
Rfam family: tRNA
About the family: Transfer RNA (tRNA) molecules are approximately 80 nucleotides in length. Their secondary structure includes four short double-helical elements and three loops (D, anti-codon, and T loops).
Source: RNAcentral
UGGGGGGUGGUGUAACCGGCAGCACAGCGGGUUUUGGUCCCGCCGGUAUGGGUUCAAGUCCUAUCCCCCCAGCCA